AUGGUUGAUAAUGGAUCGGCCUUCGGUUAUUUGCUUAAUCCAGAUGGUUGUUCUAAUAAUAAUGGUAUAUUAUUUGUUCAUACAAUUCCUAGCAUUUAUUCAUUUAUUGUAUUUACGCAUUUACUCUCUUUAUGUCUUGUGCUAACAAUUGUUCUUUUUGUAGGCAUGGCUUCAUCCGGUUCCAGGACGAGGCCGGCGUGCGCGGACCAAGAGGACAUGCCGAAGACGUGGAUGGAGGCCAGUUUGGACAAGGAGAAGGAGAAGGAUGUGCCCACACCAUCAUGUUGGUGUGCUGAUGUUUGCAAGCUGAAGGUGUCCACUGACCGCAACAAGUCAUGGACAGAAGGUAGAAGGUUUUUCGUGUGUCCCAACUAUGCACAUGAUCGUCGGAGGCCAACUAACGCAUAUGACAUACCACCGUCCCCUCCUCCACUUUGCAAGUACUUCACUUGGAUAGAUCACGAGGUACCAAAAGAUGUCCAAGAGGACCAACGUCGAGAUUGGUUACGGAGGCAGCGCCUAUUCGAGGAGUCCUAUGCACGGGGAUUGGAGCGGGAGCGUCGUGACAAGGAGGCUCGUGAGCGCAAGAAGCGUGAGGAAGAGAGGGCACGCAAAGAGAAGGAGGCUCGUCAAGAAGAGAGGGCAAAAAAACUUGCAAGGGCUCGCGAUGCACGAGAGGAGGACGAGGCAUGUGACAAGAAGGGAAAGUGGCCCCGUACUACUCAGUAG
This 729-nucleotide ribosomal RNA is filed under the name Triticum aestivum (bread wheat). RNAcentral's name for it is "partial small subunit ribosomal RNA". The record is from RNAcentral. Lineage: Eukaryota; Viridiplantae; Streptophyta; Magnoliopsida; Poales; Poaceae.